CGGGAAAAGAGCAGCAAUAGCAUUUUGUAGGCUACAGUCCAAGCUAUGUCUUCCAUUGGUGCGACUGCUGUCGGCAUCCAAAGAUUAUACAAUUUGAAUAAACGCUUGGAGGUGGAAGUAUUCAUUAGCAGCUCUGCAGUUCUCCUGAAGAAAAGACCGGAUCCUACCGUAUCUAAUGGCUCUGAAUCAGUGUGGCUGAAAUCCCUGCUCGGAGACAAAAAUGGAAAUGCUCUCCCUGCAAUCACAGCCUUUCAUCCAGCCCACUAGGAAAUAUCGUGUCUAUUAGCCAUUAGCUGAUCUGAUAUCCUGGUUUAGACAGCUCAGGCGUCUCUCUGUGUGGCUGUUUGGAGGGAGACUGAAGAGAUUGCAGGCUUCGACCCAUGUGUCUGUUGAUUGACUCAAAUCAACCAAACUGUGGCCCAGAUCAGGCUGUCUGGAAACAGAUGUCCAUUGGUGAUUGAUUUGAUUGGCUGUCUAAUGCAUUGCCAAAUGUGUGUGAAUGCUCUGGAAGAGUCAAGGAGUCAUGUUACGAUGUGUUUGUUAGAAACAGGUUGUAAAAAUACGUUGGCAGAUUUAAC
This is a long non-coding RNA of Oncorhynchus tshawytscha (Chinook salmon), 578 nucleotides long. NCBI's taxonomy places the organism in Eukaryota, Metazoa, Chordata, Actinopteri, Salmoniformes, Salmonidae. The record is from Ensembl.